UACGUAGGGUGCAGGCGUUAAUCGGAAUUACUGGGCGUAAAGCGUGCGCAGGCGGCCGAGCAAGUCGAGUGUGAAAGCCCCGAGCUUAACUUGGGAACUGCGCUCGAAACUACUUGGCUAGAGUGUGGCAGAGGGAGGUGGAAUUCCACGUGUAGCGGUGAAAUGCGUAGAGAUGUGGAGGAACACCGAUGGCGAAGGCAGCCUCCUGGGCCAACACUGACGCUCAUGCACGAAAGCGUGGGGAGCAAACAGG
This 253-nucleotide ribosomal RNA is filed under the name uncultured bacterium. RNAcentral's name for it is "partial 16S ribosomal RNA". It matches the Rfam family "Bacterial small subunit ribosomal RNA", at positions 524 to 776 of the family's 1533-position model. The record is from RNAcentral.